ACUGUGUCACCAUGGCCUGGAUUCCUGUCAUCGUCAUGUUCCUCUCGCAUUUUACAGGUUCCCUGUCCCAGCCUGUGCUGACCCAGCCACCCUCCCUCUCUGCAUCCCUGGGAUCAACAGCCAGACCCACCUGCACCCUGAGCAGUGGCUUCAGUGUUGGAAGCUACCAUAUACUCUGGUUCCAGCAGAAGUCAGAGAGCCCUCCCCGGUAUCUCCUGAGGUUCUACUCAGAUUCUAAUGAACACCAGGGUCCCGGGGUCCCCAGCCGCUUCUCUGGAUCCAAGGACACCUCAACCUAUGCAGGGCUCUUGCUCAUCUCUGGGCUGCAGCCUGAGGACGAGGCUGACUACUACUGUGCUACAGACCAUGGCAGUGGGAGCAGCUACACUUACCCACAGUGUGUCAGAUAA
Canis lupus familiaris (dog) is the source of this 410-nucleotide non-coding RNA. Lineage: Eukaryota; Metazoa; Chordata; Mammalia; Carnivora; Canidae. The record is from the annotation of a RefSeq genome assembly.